GAAAUGCGAUAAGUAAUGUGAAUUGCAGAAUUCAGUGAAUCAUCGAAUCUUUGAACGCACAUUGCGCCCGCCGGUAUUCUGGCGGGCAUGCCUGUUCGAGCGUCAUUUCAACCCCUCACGCCCCCUCGCGGGGCGUGGCGUUGGGGACCGGCCCCGCCACGUCGGCGGCCGCCCCCGAAAUCCAGUGGCGGCCACGCCGCGGCUCCCUCUGCGCAGUAGCAAUCGCCUCGCAGCCUGGGACGCGGCGCGGCCACGCCUCGACGCAAAAAUCAUAUCGUGGUUGACCUCGGAUCAGGUAGGAAUACCCGCUGAACUUAA
Molecule: unclassified non-coding RNA, 318 nt
Filed under: uncultured Nectriaceae
Lineage: Eukaryota; Fungi; Ascomycota; Sordariomycetes; Hypocreales; Nectriaceae
Description: sequence contains ITS1
Rfam family: 5.8S ribosomal RNA (bases 1-105)
Source: RNAcentral